RNAcentral lists this ribosomal RNA (511 nucleotides) under Fusarium circinatum. Its description in RNAcentral is "eukaryotic LSU rRNA". The stretch from base 190 to 343 matches the Rfam family "5.8S ribosomal RNA". The record is from RNAcentral. Lineage: Eukaryota; Fungi; Ascomycota; Sordariomycetes; Hypocreales; Nectriaceae.
GUAACAAGGUCUCCGUUGGUGAACCAGCGGAGGGAUCAUUACCGAGUUUACAACUCCCAAACCCCUGUGAACAUACCAAUUGUUGCCUCGGCGGAUCAGCCCGCUCCCGGUAAAACGGGACGGCCCGCCAGAGGACCCCUAAACUCUGUUUCUAUAUGUAACUUCUGAGUAAAACCAUAAAUAAAUCAAAACUUUCAACAACGGAUCUCUUGGUUCUGGCAUCGAUGAAGAACGCAGCAAAAUGCGAUAAGUAAUGUGAAUUGCAGAAUUCAGUGAAUCAUCGAAUCUUUGAACGCACAUUGCGCCCGCCAGUAUUCUGGCGGGCAUGCCUGUUCGAGCGUCAUUUCAACCCUCAAGCCCAGCUUGGUGUUGGGACUCGCGAGUUAAAUCGCGUUCCCCAAAUUGAUUGGCGGUCACGUCGAGCUUCCAUAGCGUAGUAGUAAAACCCUCGUUACUGGUAAUCGUCGCGGCCACGCCGUUAAACCCCAACUUCUGAAUGUGACCUCGGAUC